RNAcentral lists this small RNA (80 nucleotides) under Flavobacterium sp. CECT 9288. RNAcentral describes it as "Flavo-1". It matches the Rfam family "Flavo-1 RNA". Lineage: Bacteria; Pseudomonadati; Bacteroidota; Flavobacteriia; Flavobacteriales; Flavobacteriaceae. The record is from RNAcentral.
UUUUUGCGUGAGGGAUAGAAGCGGCAUCCUUUUGUGAAGCGAUAGCGGAACAAAAGAUAUAGCGUAUAGCCCGCUCGCCG